AUGGUGAUCUCGGCGGAGCCGCCGCCCGCGGCUCUGCCGUCGGAUCCCACCGCGGAAGGCGGCGCCGGGGAGGCGGGGGGCGCGGCCGUGGAGGCGGUGAUGACGCCGUCGAGCGCGCGCCGCGGGGCCCUGUCGUCGCUCCCGUCGACGCUCAAGACGUGGGGGAGCCACCGGAUGCUGCGCUGCGCCCCCGUCAACCGCGCCGGCGACGCCAUCGCCCCGGCCAGGCGGUCCUCCUCGCAGCAGCUCGACGAGGUCAGCGAGAGGCUCCUCCUCGGCCUCCGCGAGGCGGCGGCGGCGGCGCCGGGCGGCGGUGCCAGCGCCGCGGACGACGACGAGUCCCCGGGGGUCGUCGAGGCGGCCUCUCCGCGUCCGUCGAAGGCGCGCACCCGACGACGCCGCCGCGCCCUGAUGCCGCCGUCCCCCGCGCCCGCCGCGAGCGCCUCGCCCCAGGCGUCGGAGCGCGAGCGGAGGCUGGUCCGCGCCGACGCGCUCGGCAGGGCGCGGUUCUCCGCGACGCUCUCCGCCGAGGAGAUCGAGGAGGACGUGUACGCGCUGACCGGCGCGCGCCCGCGCCGCCGCCCGCGGCGCCGCCGGCCCCGCCCCGUGCAGAAGCAGCUCGAUAUGCUACUCCCCGGCGCGUGGCUAUCGGAGAUCACCGCCGAGUUCUACCGGGUGCCGGACGAUCGCUGA
This 693-nucleotide ribosomal RNA is filed under the name Triticum aestivum (bread wheat). Its description in RNAcentral is "partial small subunit ribosomal RNA". Lineage: Eukaryota; Viridiplantae; Streptophyta; Magnoliopsida; Poales; Poaceae. The record is from RNAcentral.